This is a long non-coding RNA of Piliocolobus tephrosceles (Ugandan red Colobus), 1127 nucleotides long. RefSeq lists it as uncharacterized. Lineage: Eukaryota; Metazoa; Chordata; Mammalia; Primates; Cercopithecidae. The record is from RefSeq and is a predicted model, not a curated record. The transcript has 3 exons.
CUCCUCCUCCUCCUCCUCCCUGCCCGGGUGAAACUCCAGCGCCCCACCCGCGCCUGACCUCCCCGAGCCCCGCCCCUUCCCGGUACGGGACCCCCACCUUCGCUCCCGGGAGCCACGCUGCACCCCGGAGUUCCAUUCCUGCUUCCCCGGUGCGAGUGCGGCCGAGCGCUGACUUUUGGGGGCUCCCUUCCCGGUCUCACUGGGUCCCUCUGCGGCUCCCCCGCCCGCUGUCCCGCCUCAGACGUGGCUGCACCCCGGAGCGGGGCGCCGGCCGAGACCUGAGACGUGGCGAUGCCGCUCUGCCGGCCUCGGCUCCAGUGCUUGAAUUUCAGCCACAUGCCUAAGCUGCCAUCUCAGACCAGAGGAACAGGGAGGGGGGCUUUCUGGAAAGAACAUCACCUGGAAGAAAUCAGGACAUGGCUGUGGGCCAUGAGUGACCUUCAAGGAAAGCCAGCUAUCUGUGGUAUUUAAGAUGUGAUCCAUGACAUUUAAGAACUGAAGAAACGAAAAGAUCAUCUGAUCAGUCCCAUCCGUCUUUUUCCUAGUGAUAAACAUUGGUACAAAGAUGUGAAGUUUGAUGUCUCACUAAGACUGCGUAGUGCUGCUUUAUUGCUCACCUACUUCAAAGUAUUGGGAAAACAUGAUUCCCAAUACAGUACAGGUGAGGCUGGGUUGCACCCAAACAGGUUUCUUUUGUCAGAUUCUUUUGAUGGAUCAGGAACCUACAAGUGGGGAGAUUUAAGGGAAAUCGCCCCUACACUUGCGUUUUCUUUACGUCUUUAGGGUUCUCUUACCCCAAGAAACAUACAUUCCUCUUUAGUGUAGCAGCCCAUUCUAUUGGCAAAGUUAAGCAGACUAGUUUUAUUUAAAGAGAGCCACCCAGAACCUUAGACAGAUAGAAAAUACUUGAGGUGCAGAUGAGAGUGAGCACAAAUGUGCAUAGCACGUGCAGUUUCCUGGCCCUUAAACUGAAGGGCCACAUCAGUCUGCUCCUCCAGACACAGCCUGGGACCCCAUAAUGUGCCCCGCUCUGCAGUCUGAGCUUCCACUCAAGUCCACCAGGGCCUGUCUCACACAACCCAUGUCUGGUCAGAGGGUUGCACUUUGCCACUGCCAUAUGUUCCCAG